Molecule: ribosomal RNA, 252 nt
Filed under: uncultured bacterium
Lineage: Bacteria
Description: partial 16S ribosomal RNA
Rfam family: Bacterial small subunit ribosomal RNA
Source: RNAcentral
UACGUAGGUCCCGAGCGUUGUCCGGAUUUAUUGGGCGUAAAGCGAGCGCAGGUGGUUUAUUAAGUCUGGUGUAAAAGGCAGUGGCUCAACCAUUGUAUGCAUUGGAAACUGGUAGACUUGAGUGCAGGAGAGGGGAGUGGAAUUCCAUGUGUAGCGGUGAAAUGCGUAGAUAUAUGGAGGAACACCGGUGGCGAAAGCGGCUCUCUGGCCUGUAACUGACACUGAGGCUCGAAAGCGUGGGGAGCAAACAGG